Non-coding RNA from Ciona intestinalis (vase tunicate), 525 nucleotides. The record is from RefSeq and is a predicted model, not a curated record. Lineage: Eukaryota; Metazoa; Chordata; Ascidiacea; Phlebobranchia; Cionidae.
UUAUAUUCACCUGGGCCUGUGAAAGUCAAUGCAUUAAGGAAGGUGAUAAGAUCUGGUUGAGUCUUUCUUUCUUUCAAUUGGGAAACCAUUGGGUUGAUGCUGCCACCACGGAAACCAACCAACCCAAUCUUAGUAUCAGUGCUGCCAAUGCUAAACUUCCUGCAAGAAUAAGUUGAAUUAGUUGAUGCGCAACACUGGUGAUAUUUCUAGUUCCAUGUUUAAGAACAGAAGACAUACUGCUUGUGAUUUCGAUGGCAAAUACAACAUCGAGAACAGCGUUUGGAGGGCAGAGAGCUGGGGGGGGGGGAGCUUUGAUUAUUUAAUGAAGUGGAAAUAAAAAGUAAAACAGAUUAUCCACCUGAAUUACAUUCGAACCAACACUCAGUGCCAGGAAUUAAGUUGCUAUCCGGAUUCGAGCACAUCUUGGUACCAUUUCCUGGGGCUGCGAUGGGUGGGCAGGUUGGGGGGUCUGGGAUGUCUGGAGGAAAAUGUAAGGUUUAAUAUGCUUUGCUUUUAAACCAAUGA